Molecule: long non-coding RNA, 363 nt
Filed under: Mytilus galloprovincialis (Mediterranean mussel)
Lineage: Eukaryota; Metazoa; Mollusca; Bivalvia; Mytilida; Mytilidae
Source: RNAcentral
GUGUGCCUGAGACAAAGGUUUUAUAUAUAUACUAAUAUGUGAUAACUGCUGUUUCUUAUUUGUGUUUGUAACUAUGUGUUGUUUAUUAUAUUUGUAAAAGAAUAUUAUAUUACAAUGAUAUUAUAUUAUGCUCCUUGUGAGCCCAUUUUAUGGAAAUAAAGCAUCUUCUUCUUCUUCUUCUAUAUCGAUUGGGAGAAAACAAAUCGGGGUUACAAACUAAAACUGAGGGAAUUCAAACACAACAAACAUAUUAAUGUUUGUUUGUUUUUGUUGGUUCAUGGGAGCAUAACGUUUUCGUGGAAGCUGCUAAUAUAGGACACCCUUUACUCAAUUAUCCGCUGGUGUGGACCACAGUUGGAAAAG